CAAAUUAUUUAGGAAAAAUAUCAAAUAAUAUUCUUUUUGUUGAAUAGAUACCAAGUGUAACAAAAAAUUAUAGUAGCUUUUUCUAGGAUCGAGGGGGUAUUAUAUAUUAUAACGGAGUGAUACAAGUGAUGCUAAUUAUGUUGGGAGGCCUAUUUGUUCCCCUGCUCUAGUACUAGUAUCAAGUACUUACAGCUCCAUAUUAAUUAACAGGCCACUUUAUAGAUGUCUAAGAUCGAUGUGUAAAUAUGGAGCAUAUAGGUGUGGGCAAUAAAUGGUGAUUAGUACUGCUUAAGCAUGUCUAUUUAAGUAAGGCUAGCUCUCAUAUAUGAAAGGAAGGUGCAUACUUUUACUAGCUCUUAACGUACCACAAUCCUUUGAUAUAUAUAUAUAUAUAUAUAUAUAUAUAUAUAUAUAUAUAUAUAUAUA
RNAcentral lists this long non-coding RNA (426 nucleotides) under Panax ginseng (ginseng). RNAcentral describes it as "long non-coding RNA (PGIN_LNC009441)". The record is from RNAcentral. Lineage: Eukaryota; Viridiplantae; Streptophyta; Magnoliopsida; Apiales; Araliaceae.